This 1370-nucleotide ribosomal RNA is filed under the name uncultured bacterium. RNAcentral describes it as "bacterial SSU rRNA". It matches the Rfam family "Bacterial small subunit ribosomal RNA". The record is from RNAcentral.
AGAGUUUGAUCCUGGCUCAGGACGAACGCUGGCGGCGCGCCUAACACAUGCAAGUCGAACGAGCGAGAGAGAGCUUGCUUUCUCGAGCGAGUGGCGAACGGGUGAGUAACGCGUGAGGAACCUGCCUCAAAGAGGGGGACAACAGUUGGAAACGACUGCUAAUACCGCAUAAGCCCACAGCUCGGCAUCGAGCAGAGGGAAAAGGAGCAAUCCGCUUUGAGAUGGCCUCGCGUCCGAUUAGCUGGUUGGUGAGGUAAUGGCCCACCAAGGCGACGAUCGGUAGCCGGACUGAGAGGUUGAACGGCCACAUUGGGACUGAGACACGGCCCAGACUCCUACGGGAGGCAGCAGUGGGGAAUAUUGCACAAUGGGGGAAACCCUGAUGCAGCGACGCCGCGUGGAGGAAGAAGGUCUUCGGAUUGUAAACUCCUGUUGUUGAGGAAGAUAAUGACGGUACUCAACAAGGAAGUGACGGCUAACUACGUGCCAGCAGCCGCGGUAAAACGUAGGUCACAAGCGUUGUCCGGAAUUACUGGGUGUAAAGGGAGCGCAGGCGGGAAGACAAGUUGGAAGUGAAAUCUAUGGGCUCAACCCAUAAACUGCUUUCAAAACUGUUUUUCUUGAGUAGUGCAGAGGUAGGCGGAAUUCCCGGUGUAGCGGUGGAAUGCGUAGAUAUCGGGAGGAACACCAGUGGCGAAGGCGGCCUACUGGGCACCCACUGACGCUGAGGCUCGAAAGUGUGGGUACCAAACAGGAUUAGAUACCCUGGUAGUCCACACCGUAAACGAUGAUUACUAGGUGUUGGAGGAUUGACCCCUUCAGUGCCGCAGUUAACACAAUAAGUAAUCCACCUGGGGAGUACGACCGCAAGGUUGAAACUCAAAGGAAUUGACGGGGGCCCGCACAAGCAGUGGAGUAUGUGGUUUAAUUCGACGCAACGCGAAGAACCUUACCAAGUCUUGACAUCCCUUGACGAUGCUGGAAACAGUAUUUCUCUUCGGAGCAAGGAGACAGGUGGUGCAUGGUUGUCGUCAGCUCGUGUCGUGAGAUGUUGGGUUAAGUCCCGCAACGAGCGCAACCCUUACUGUCAGUUACUACGCAAGAGGACUCUGGCAGGACUGCCGUUGACAAAACGGAGGAAGGUGGGGAUGACGUCAAAUCAUCAUGCCCUUUAUGACUUGGGCUACACACGUACUACAAUGGCGUUAAACAAAGAGAAGCAAGACCGCGAGGUGGAGCAAAACUCAGAAACAACGUCCCCCCUCCGACUGCAGGCUGCAACUCGCCUGCACGAAGUCGGAAUUGCUAGUAAUCGUGGAUCAGCAUGCCACGGUGAAUACGUUCCCGGGGCCUUGUACACACCGCCCGUC